GACGAACGCUGGCGGCGUGCCUAAUACAUGCAAGUAGAACGCUGAAGUGAGGAGCUUGCUCUUCUUGGAUGAGUUGCGAACGGGUGAGUAACGCGUAGGUAACCUGCCUUGUAGCGGGGGAUAACUAUUGGAAACGAUAGCUAAUACCGCAUAACAAUGGAUGACACAUGUCAUUUAUUUGAAAGGGGCAAUUGCUCCACUACAAGAUGGACCUGCGUUGUAUUAGCUAGUAGGUGAGGUAACGGCUCACCUAGGCGACGAUACAUAGCCGACCUGAGAGGGUGAUCGGCCACACUGGGACUGAGACACGGCCCAGACUCCUACGGGAGGCAGCAGUACGGAAUGUUGGGCAAUGGGGGCAAACUUGAACCAGCAACGCCGCGUGAGUGAAGAGAGUAGUCGGAUCGUAAAGCACGGUUAUAAAUAAAGACCGCGUGUGAGAGUGAAAAGUUCACACUGUGACGGUAGCUAAACAGAAAGGGACGGCUAACUACAUU
Molecule: ribosomal RNA, 497 nt
Filed under: uncultured bacterium
Lineage: Bacteria
Description: partial 16S ribosomal RNA
Rfam family: Bacterial small subunit ribosomal RNA
Source: RNAcentral